RNAcentral lists this ribosomal RNA (406 nucleotides) under uncultured bacterium. RNAcentral's name for it is "partial 16S ribosomal RNA". It matches the Rfam family "Bacterial small subunit ribosomal RNA", at positions 30 to 526 of the family's 1533-position model. The record is from RNAcentral.
AUUGAACGCUGGCGGCAGGCCUAACACAUGCAAGUCGAACGAGUGGCGGACGGGUGAGUAAUUUCUGGGAAACUGCCUGAUGGAGGGGGAUAACUACUGGAAACGGUAGCUAAUACCGCAUACCAUCGGAUGUGCCCAGAUGGGAUUAGCUAGUAGGUGGGGUAACGGCUCACCUAGGCGACGAUCCCUAGCUGGUCUGAGAGGAUGACAAGCAACACUGGACCUGAGACACGGGCCAGACUCCUACGGGAGGCAGCAGUGGGGAGUAUUGCAACAUGGGCACAAGCCUGAUACAGCCAUGCCGCGUGUAUGAAGAAGGCCUUCGGGUUGUAAAGUACUUUCAGCGAGGAGGCGUUACUCGCAGAAGAAGCACCGGCUAACUCCGUGCCAGCAGCCGCGGUAAUUC